UUCCUACGGGGCAGCAGUAGGGAAUCUUCCGCAAUGGGCGAAAGCCUGACGGAGCAACGCCGCGUGAGUGAUGAAGGUUUUCGGAUCGUAAAGCUCUGUUGCCAGGGAAGAACGUCCGUAGAGUAACUGCUAUCGGAGUGACGGUACCUGAGAAGAAAGCCCCGGCUAACUACGUGCCAGCAGCCGCGGUAAUACGUAGGGGGCAAGCGUUGUCCGGAAUUAUUGGGCGUAAAGCGCGCGCAGGCGGUCAUUUAAGUCUGGUGUUUAAGGCCAAGGCUCAACCUUGGUUCGCACUGGAAACUGGGUGACUUGAGUGCAGAAGAGGAGAGUGGAAUUCCACGUGUAGCGGUGAAAUGCGUAGAUAUGUGGAGGAACACCAGUGGCGAAGGCGACUCUCUGGGCUGUAACUGACGCUGAGGCGCGAAAGCGUGGGGAGCAAACAGGAUUAGAUACCCUGGGUAGUCC
Molecule: ribosomal RNA, 465 nt
Filed under: Paenibacillus sp.
Lineage: Bacteria; Bacillati; Bacillota; Bacilli; Caryophanales; Paenibacillaceae
Description: bacterial SSU rRNA
Rfam family: Bacterial small subunit ribosomal RNA
Source: RNAcentral